This 255-nucleotide ribosomal RNA is filed under the name uncultured bacterium. Its description in RNAcentral is "partial 16S ribosomal RNA". It matches the Rfam family "Bacterial small subunit ribosomal RNA", at positions 524 to 776 of the family's 1533-position model. The record is from RNAcentral.
UACAGAGGGUGCAAGCGUUGCUCGGAAUCAUUGGGCGUAAAGGGCAGGUAGGUGGUCUGAUUUGUCUGGAGGUGAAAGCCUUGGGCUUAACCCAAGAAGUGCCCCGGAAACGGUCAGACUUAGAGUCUUGGAGAGGGUGGCGGAAUUCCCGGUGUAGCGGUGAAAUGCGUAGAGAUCCGGAGGAACACCAGCGGCGAAGGCGGCAUCCUGGACUGGUCCUGACACUCAUGAGCGAAAGCGUGGGGAGCGAUCCGG